This 496-nucleotide ribosomal RNA is filed under the name uncultured bacterium. RNAcentral's name for it is "partial 16S ribosomal RNA". It matches the Rfam family "Bacterial small subunit ribosomal RNA", at positions 29 to 507 of the family's 1533-position model. The record is from RNAcentral.
ACGAACGCUGGCGGCGUGCCUAAUACAUGCAAGUUGAGCGCUGAAGGUUGGUACUUGUACCAACUGGAUGAGCAGCGAACGGGUGAGUAACGCGUGGGGAAUCUGCCUUUGAGCGGGGGACAACAUUUGGAAACGAAUGCUAAUACAGCAUAAAAACUUUAAACACAAGUUUUAAGUUUGAAAGAUGCAAUUGCAUCACUCAAAGAUGAUCCCGCGUUGUAUUAGCUAGUUGGUGAGGUAAAGGCUCACCAAGGCGAUGAUACAUAGCCGACCUGAGAGGGUGAUCGGCCACAUUGGGACUGAGACACGGCCCAAACUCCUACGGGAGGCAGCAGUAGGGAAUCUUCGGCAAUGGACGAAAGUCUGGCCGAGCAACGCCGCGUGAGUGAAGAAGGUUUUCGGAUCGUAAAACUCUGUUGGUAGAGAAGAACGUUGGUGAGAGUGGAAAGCUCAUCAAGUGACGGUAACUACCCAGAAAGGGACGGCUAACUACGUG